AGGACAGAAAACUUUUCUUUGUCACAGUUUGAUGAGUUGAAUCUUUUUUAUUUAAAUGUCUACCUACAGAUACCAGGUAAUCUCUAAGGUUCCUAGUUGAAUGCCUUUAGGUGAGGCAAACUCCUAAGAGCACUUCCCAAAUCCUGGGUCAUUUUUAAUCAUCUUCUGAAAUCUCUCAAGUAAUUCCAAUCUUUCUUAACAGCAAGACACCAAACCCACAGGUUUUUACCGAUAUGAUGUGGAAUAAUUACUUUGCUGCUUAACUUUUUAGGCAUUCAAGGAAUGGUCUACCCUUCUUUGUGACAGCAUUAUGCUGAGAGCUCACACUAAGAUGAUCUUCUAUGAUGACUCUAAAUCCAUUAGGUCACUGCUUUCCAGGACAGAGCCUCAUUAUUCUGCAGCAGAGACAGAUAUGUUUCUCUGGUGCCAGAUAUAUUUCAUUUGUUUCAGAUAUACUUCAUCUGGUUAUAAUAAAGUGCAUUUUACUGGAAUGCAGCCAUUAUACCAGGGGAUUCAUAUAAUUUAAUAACUUCAACUUGUCCUUCCCACCAAUUAUCCAAACCUAUCAGACCCUAAUGAGCCCCAUUCACCUACAUCUUCCCAUUAGAAAAACUAGUUUUUGAUUCCUCAGUGAGCCAGCCUUUAAUUUAUCUAAUGCGUGCCCUGAUAAUUCUCUACACCCUUUUUUAAAUUACAGUGUCAUUUUUUAUUGUGUUAAAUGUAUUUGGGAAUCCAAAUUUACCAUAAUAAUGUAAGUUGCAGAAAAUGAAAUCCUUUGGUUUGCAAUCCUUUGGUUUGCAAGUUAUAGUGAAAACAGCUUUCUGCACCGAAACAAAUUUUGAGAAUUUUUUUCCUCGCUGCAAUGGAAAAUUCCUGCCUUCUCCCAAAUAUUUAGUUCAAUGUGAACUUUUGAAAGAUGAAACCAAGUAUUAGUCAGUAGAAAAAAAGUGACAUGAGCUAAAGCCUUAAAAAUAAUAUAAGGAGAUAGAUAAUGGCAGCUUUGGAUUUAAGUGCAUCCAUUCAAAAAAUGGAUCUGGAGUCUUGUUCCAACUUUCCUUAGCUAUAUUUGAACUUUCCCCUCACCAUCCAACAGUCAUCUAACUUGUGGUAGAAAUAAUGUCAAUUUCCUUUGUUUCACUUUUGUUUCACUAUCUAGAAAUAAUUAAAUCCAAGUGGGCAAGUUUCCAUGCUUGAAAAUCAUUUUCUCUCAUUUUCAGUCUCAAAUAGCAGUUAUAUGAAAUGCUGCAGCUUCAGCUAUGGGUGUUACAAGACAUCAAGCGAAGACCAUCCAAUAGGCUUGGAGAAUUUUUGUUUACAGGAACGCUAUUCUUACUGGUAUCCCAUUUCUGAAGUGGACAUAGAACUGUCUCAAGCUAAAUACCUAGCUAAGCCAUUGGUAGGGAGAAUGAGAGACAACAGAUCUUCUUUAACAUAUGUAAGGACACACUGGAGAAAUAUGGAAAAUUACUCAUACCCCAGGCAGACAAAAAUCACAUGAGGUUUUAACCUUAGAAACCUUAUGCGGGAUGGGGAGAUACAACUUUCUUACUCCAGUAUGUAUUACUACUUUUGAAGUAUUAAAUGAAAGAAAGAUACCAGUAAGUUUCUCCACAAGAUUCAUAACUCUGAACUUGUCCCAGAAGUUCAACCCAGAUUUACUUUCGGAACAAAAAAAAAAAA
Long non-coding RNA from Strigops habroptila (Kakapo), 1680 nucleotides. The record is from Ensembl. NCBI's taxonomy places the organism in Eukaryota, Metazoa, Chordata, Aves, Psittaciformes, Psittacidae.